Vicia villosa (hairy vetch) is the source of this 715-nucleotide long non-coding RNA. RefSeq lists it as uncharacterized. NCBI's taxonomy places the organism in Eukaryota, Viridiplantae, Streptophyta, Magnoliopsida, Fabales, Fabaceae. The record is from RefSeq and is a predicted model, not a curated record. The transcript has 3 exons.
CUUACUAUUGUGCCCUUUCACUUUUUUUUUUCCUCCCUUACAAAAGGUUAAUCUUGUAAUUAACAAAUUCAAUAUUCACCUAUGCCAAUUGUAUCUUUCUUAUUGGUCCAUUCCAACAACUUGUCCCAAACACCAUUUUCAUUUGUUUCUCUUUCUCCUUUUCUGAUAUAAACUUUUUCCUUCUCUCUACUCUCUCUCUCUCUCUCAUUUCUUCUUCUCUCUUCUCUAUCAUCAAACCCUAAAAAUUUCUGGAAAAAAGCCACAGACCCCGCCACACUUAAACCCUUGGCCAUUUUAUGUUUUCUCCACAAACCCUAGCACCCUAGCACACAUCCGCUCUCUCAUUUCUCCACAAACCCUAGCGCAGCCGGUCUCUCAUUUUUCCACAUACCCUAGCGCCGUCGUUGCUUCGUCCCCUUCUUCAAGUUCCUUCUUCAACACUAUCGCUUGAUUAGGAUUGCGGAGGAAUUCAAUAUUGCAGUUUAUAUGACAAAUCAAGAUUCAUGGUAAAUCUUGUGUUGCAUACUUGGCCAGUUUAAUGGUGACGAGAGCUUGAGUGAAACCCACCAACGAUAAGGUCGGAAGCGAAUUCGAUGCAGGUGAGUGAGGAUUUGGGGAUAGAAUGGGGAGUGAAGUAGAGGAGUGGAUAAAAAGGAAUUGAGGGCAAAAGUUUGUUGAAUUUGGUGAGCAUUGGAGAUGAUUUGCAAUGGAAAUG